ACGGGACCAGGGGCGUGGUAGGGAGCCGUGGACUCGAGUUUUUAUCGUCCUCUGGCGCCGACACUCGGCUGCGGAAUCGAGUUUGAGCUCGGUGUAGCUGAAGUUUAAAUUGUAGCUGUUUCAAAGAUGCCUUGGGAUUCUGAGGAACCCCAGAUUCAGCACCCCUGCUUAACCUGCUUUUAAGAAGAAAAAAAUGGAACUUGGUAAACUUCACUCGAAGGAGAGACCCACUAAUACCUCCACCCACCUCACACCCAGUGAAGGUCUGGCUGUCCCUCUUUCUUCAUCUGUUCAGGCUGCUGUAACAAAAUGCUGACGCUGAGAGAAUGUAUGUGUGCUCCAGGAAUGACUGGAUGAAACAAAAAAGAGAGUCUGGAUACCAUUAAAGUGUUCGACUCUUGGAUUCCUACAGUUUGAGAUGGGAAGCAGAACUGGGUGAAACUGUAGAUCUCCUAGAGAGUGGAGCUAGCUCCCAUCCUUCCAAAUGCAGCAAUGACAUUAAGGACAUUUGUUCACAUGGAUCACAGUUGGUGUUGGAAAGUCGUCCUACCUGGACAUUGCUGUCAGAGCCAUGGACUAAAUUACUCAGUUCUGGCCUAAGUAAAGCAAGCUCUCAGUGUCAAAGACUUUUUUUUUGAGAUAUAGUCUUGCUCUGUUGCCCAGGCUGGAAUGUAAUGGUGUGAUCUCAGCUUACUGCAACCUCCGCCUCCCAUAUUCAAGCAAUUCUCCCACCUCAGCCUCCUGA
RNAcentral lists this long non-coding RNA (745 nucleotides) under Piliocolobus tephrosceles (Ugandan red Colobus). RNAcentral's name for it is "lncRNA (ENSPTEG00000007463.1)". The record is from RNAcentral. Lineage: Eukaryota; Metazoa; Chordata; Mammalia; Primates; Cercopithecidae.